GGCUCGGUCCAGAGGCAGUGUCGCACCCAAUGAGGCCUGGCUGAGGGGCGACUAUUGCUAGUUGAAACUUCAUCCAGAGGCG
Molecule: small nuclear RNA, 82 nt
Filed under: Haemaphysalis longicornis (longhorned tick)
Lineage: Eukaryota; Metazoa; Arthropoda; Arachnida; Ixodida; Ixodidae
Description: U4 spliceosomal RNA
Rfam family: U4 spliceosomal RNA
About the family: U4 small nuclear RNA (U4 snRNA) is a component of the major U2-dependent spliceosome. The structure of U4 snRNA from yeast and human has been reported.
Source: Rfam by way of RNAcentral